CGGGGUGCAGCAGGCGCGAAAACUUUACAAUGCGGGAAACCGUGAUAAGGGGACACCGAGUGCCAGCAUCAUAUGCUGGCUGUCCAGGUGUGUAAAAUACACCUGUCAGCAAGGGCCGGGCAAGACCGGUGCCAGCCGCCGCGGUAACACCGGCGGCCCGAGUGGUGAUCGUGAUUAUUGGGUCUAAAGGGUCCGUAGCCGGUUUGGUCAGUCCUCCGGGAAAUCUGACGGCUCAACCGUUAGGCUUUCGGGGGAUACUGCCAGGCUUGGAACCGGGAGAGGUAAGAGGUACUACAGGGGUAGGAGUGAAAUCUUGUAAUCCCUGUGAGACCACCUGUGGCGAAGGCGUCUUACCAGAACGGGUUCGACGGUGAGGGACGAAAGCUGGGGGCACGAACCGGAUUAGAUACCCGGGUAGUCCCAGCCGUAAACGAUGCUCGCUAGGUGUCAGGCAUGGCGCGACCGUGUCUGGUGCCGCAGGGAAGCCGUGAAGCGAGCCACCUGGGAAGUACGGCCGCAAGGCUGAAACUUAAAGGAAUUGG
RNAcentral lists this ribosomal RNA (542 nucleotides) under uncultured archaeon. Its description in RNAcentral is "bacterial SSU rRNA". It matches the Rfam family "Archaeal small subunit ribosomal RNA", at positions 326 to 868 of the family's 1478-position model. The record is from RNAcentral.